This 332-nucleotide unclassified non-coding RNA is filed under the name soil metagenome. RNAcentral describes it as "partial contains 5.8S ribosomal RNA, internal transcribed spacer 2, and large subunit ribosomal RNA". The stretch from base 1 to 120 matches the Rfam family "5.8S ribosomal RNA", at positions 35 to 154 of the family's 154-position model. The record is from RNAcentral.
GAUGAAGAACGCAGCAAAAUGCGAUAAGUAAUGUGAAUUGCAGAAUUCAGUGAAUCAUCGAAUCUUUGAACGCACAUUGCGCCCGCCAGUAUUCUGGCGGGCAUGCCUGUUCGAGCGUCAUUUCAACCCUCAAGCACAGCUUGGUGUUGGGACUCGCGUUAAUUCGCGUUCCUCAAAUUGAUUGGCGGUCACGUCGAGCUUCCAUAGCGUAGUAGUAAAACCCUCGUUACUGAUAAUCGUCGCGGCCACGCCGUUAAACCCCAACUUCUGAAUGUUGACCUCGGAUCAGGUAGGAAUACCCGCUGAACUUAAGCAUAUCAAUAAGCGGAGGA